Molecule: unclassified non-coding RNA, 375 nt
Filed under: uncultured fungus
Lineage: Eukaryota; Fungi
Description: sequence contains ITS1
Rfam family: 5.8S ribosomal RNA (bases 1-104)
Source: RNAcentral
GAAAUGCGAUAAGUAAUGUGAAUUGCAGAAUUCAGUGAAUCAUCGAAUCUUUGAACGCAACUGGCGCUUUUUGGUAUUCCAAAAAGCAUGCCUGUUUGAUAUCUAGUGAAACAAAAACAUUCUGCUAUUGCGGAUAGUUUUCUAUGGAUUUAUCUUGUUUAUCCAAGUCAUCCAAAAUUCACCAUGCUAUUGAUUUACUCUAUAGUUUUAAGCUUAAGUGAUUGUAUUUUAUGCAAUUUUUUUGCGUGCAAUAUUUUUGUCAUUUUCGUUUUUGACUUAAUUUAAAGAGUAAAUUGAUGGCAUGCAAAAGCAUUGCUCGUCAGAGUAAUUUUUGAAUUAGGUAUCAAAUCAGGUAGGAUUACCCGCUGAACUUAA